UACGUAGGUGGCGAGCGUUGUCCGGAUUUACUGGGCGUAAAGGGCGCGUAGGCGGCCAGCGCAAGUCAGUUGUGAAAUCUCCGGGCUUAACUCGGAAAGGUCAACUGAUACUGCGCGGCUAGAGUGCAGAAGGGGCAACUGGAAUUCUCGGUGUAGCGGUGAAAUGCGUAGAUAUCGAGAGGAACACCUGCGGCGAAGGCGGGUUGCUGGGCUGACACUGACGCUGAUGCGCGAAAGCCAGGGGAGCGAACGGG
RNAcentral lists this ribosomal RNA (254 nucleotides) under uncultured bacterium. RNAcentral describes it as "partial 16S ribosomal RNA". It matches the Rfam family "Bacterial small subunit ribosomal RNA", at positions 524 to 776 of the family's 1533-position model. The record is from RNAcentral.